Mytilus californianus (California mussel) is the source of this 1434-nucleotide long non-coding RNA. RefSeq lists it as uncharacterized. NCBI's taxonomy places the organism in Eukaryota, Metazoa, Mollusca, Bivalvia, Mytilida, Mytilidae. The record is from RefSeq and is a predicted model, not a curated record. The transcript is spliced from 4 exons.
UAUACUUUUGCCUGAAAAAAGGGAGAUAAUUGGCUACUUCCGGUUAAGAAAAUGUCACUUCCGGUCUCAUAUGAUAGAUUUAUUUACACUGAUUCCAAAAAUAUAUGGUUUAUAUAUACUUUUGCCUGUAAUAAGGGAGAUAAUAUGCUACUUCCGGUUUAUAAAAUAUCACUUCCGGUCUCAAAUGAUAGAUUAAUGUAUGACUAUUCAAAAAAUAUAUGGUUUCUAUGUACUUCUACAUGAAAUAAGUGCAAAAAUGACCACUUCCGGUUCACUCAAUGUCACUUCCGGUUGACAUUUUUCAAGGUCAUAUGUCACCCAACAUUUUGCAAAAGAUCUUAUGGCUUUAUCAUGUACCAAUAUGAAGUAAUAAUCAAUUUACCUUAAAAUAAAACAUUUCAGGGGCAAUAACUCCAAUAAGAUGUCGCUGGAUUGUCUCAGACCAAUGUAUCAUAUCUUCAUUACAAUAAAGCAAACAUUUUGCACUUGUUCUUUUAUAUAUAUCUUUAAAAGUGUUUGAGAAAAUGCAAAAACAAGGAAAAGUCAAAAUUUAGAACUUGACCUUGACCUUUGACCUUGACUUCAUUUUCUAAGUUGGGACCUAGGGGCCUCAUAUAAAAACAUUCCAGGGUUAUACGGUUAAAGGUUUGUGAGAUAAAAAAACAUACCGACAAAUUUUUUUGGUAAAGGUAGAUAACUCCUAUAAAAUUUCAUCGAAUCGCUUCGAUCCAAAUUAGCCAAAAAUUCCUGAGGAUGUAACGAACAAUUUAGAAAAAGAAUUUUGUCGAUAUCUUUUUUUGUUACGAAGGAGAUGCACACACUUGAUAAACAGUGAAUAGGGAGAUAACUCUUACAAAGAAAAUUGUUCGUCUAAGCAGGAUGAAAUUUAAAAGCGCAUAAACUAUACGAUACAAUAUGAGAAAUAUCUAAGCGACAUAUUGCGAAACAAAUAUUUAUCGCAAGAACAAAAUUAGGGGGAAGAAAAAAAAAAAAUAAUAAUAAUAAUAAUCAGAACAAAUACAAUAGGUCUUUCCACAGAAAAGUGGAAAGACCUAAUAAUAAUCAGAACAAAUACAAUAGGUCUUUCCACAGAAAAGUGGAAAGACCUAAUAAUAAUAAUAAUCAGAACAAAUACAAUAGGUCUUUCCACAGAAAAGUGGAAAGACCUAAUAAUCAGAAGAAAACCAAUAGGUCUUUCCACAGAAAAGUGGAAAGACCUAAUAAUCAGAAGAAAACCAAUAGGUCUUUCCACAGAAAAGUGGAAAGACCUAAUAAUCAGAAGAAAACCAAUAGGUCUUUCCACAGAAAAGUGGAAAGACCUAAUAAUCAGAAGAAAACCAAUAGGUCUUUCCAAAGAAAAGUGAAAGACCUAAUAAUAAUCAGAAGAAAAUCAAUAGGUCUUUCCACAGAAAAGUGGAAAGACCUCAUAAUAAG